Molecule: ribosomal RNA, 228 nt
Filed under: Synechococcus sp. MLCB
Lineage: Bacteria; Bacillati; Cyanobacteriota; Cyanophyceae; Synechococcales; Synechococcaceae
Description: partial 16S ribosomal RNA
Rfam family: Bacterial small subunit ribosomal RNA
Source: RNAcentral
GCAACUCGCCUACGUGAAGGAGGAAUCGCUAGUAAUCGCAGGUCAGCAUACUGCGGUGAAUACGUUCCCGGGCCUUGUACACACCGCCCGUCACACCAUGGAAGUUGGCCACGCCCGAAGCCGUUACUCCAACCCUUGUGGAGGAGGACGUCGAAGGUGGGGCUGAUGACUGGGGUGAAGUCGUAACAAGGUAGCCGUACCGGAAGGUGCGGCUGGAUCACCUCCUAA